Molecule: transfer RNA, 84 nt
Filed under: Candidatus Shikimatogenerans bostrichidophilus
Lineage: Bacteria; Pseudomonadati; Bacteroidota; Flavobacteriia; Flavobacteriales
Description: tRNA-Tyr
Rfam family: tRNA
About the family: Transfer RNA (tRNA) molecules are approximately 80 nucleotides in length. Their secondary structure includes four short double-helical elements and three loops (D, anti-codon, and T loops).
Source: RNAcentral
GGGGAGAUACUCAAGCGGUUAACGAGGACAGACUGUAAAUCUGUUGAUUCAUAAUCUUCGUAGGUUCGAAUCCUACUCUCCCCA